GCGCCGGGCGACAUGCCGGUGCGCUUCAAGGGGCUGAGUGAAUACCAGAGGAACUUCCUGUGGAAAAAGUCUUAUUUGUCAGAGUCUUGUAAUUCCUCCGUGGGGCGAAAGUACCCAUGGGCUGGACUUAGAUCAGAUCAAUUAGGCAUCACGAAAGAGCCAAGUUUUAUUUCAAAAAGAAGAGUCCCUUACCAUGACCCACAGAUUUCAAAAUCUCUGGAGUGGAAUGGAGCUAUCUCAGAGAGCAAUGUGGUUGCAUCACCAGAACCAGAAGCCUCGGAAACACCAAAAUCACAAGAAGCAGAACAAAAGGAUGUUACUCAAGAAAGAGUUCACUCACUAGAAGCUUCCAGGGUUCCCAAAAGAACCAGAUCUCACUCUGCAGACUCCAGAGCUGAAGGGGCUUCAGAUGUGGAAAAUAAUGAGGGUGUAACAAACCAUACACCAGUUAAUGAAAAUGUGGAACUGGAACAUUCUACCAAGGUUCUUUCAGAAAAUGUAGAUAAUGGGUUGGAUAGACUUCUGCGUAAGAAAGCUGGAUUGACUGUUGUUCCUUCAUAUAAUGCCUUGAGAAAUUCUGAAUAUCAAAGGCAGUUUGUUUGGAAGACUUCUAAAGAAACUGCUCCAGCUUUUGCAGCCAAUCAGGCCUCUGAUGAUCAUUGUUGCCAGAUGCAGCACAUAUACUAAAUAUGAGACAGGGUAAUGAAAACUUGGGGAACU
This 720-nucleotide small RNA is filed under the name Pan troglodytes (chimpanzee). RNAcentral's name for it is "processed transcript". The record is from RNAcentral. Lineage: Eukaryota; Metazoa; Chordata; Mammalia; Primates; Hominidae.